This is a long non-coding RNA of Myotis myotis, 2097 nucleotides long. RefSeq lists it as uncharacterized. The record is from RefSeq and is a predicted model, not a curated record. The transcript has 2 exons. NCBI's taxonomy places the organism in Eukaryota, Metazoa, Chordata, Mammalia, Chiroptera, Vespertilionidae.
AGCCGCAGUGCCCGUCCUUACUGUCCAAUGAGUUCCAAAAAGCAAAUCAACUGAGUUAGAAACAUUUCACUGAGUAGAGUGCAUGACUCAGGGUAAAGUUAUGACCCGAGUUUUCCACUCUCCUUUUGAGAUCCAUUCGCUAGUCAAAAAGCAACACACUCAGAAACAGCAUGCCGUUUUCAUGCCUUGUCCGUGCGGGCAGUUUUUAAAGCUCCCAAUUCACAGACCAGGCCAGAGAAAACAUCAUCACAAGAGAAAGUACAAGCCCUCAGCCAACUCCAGAACUGCUGGGUGUGGUUCCUUUGCGGUGAUGAUGAGAAAGCAAAGGAACAACGAGCAGUACCACACGAACUAAAAGAACGUCCCAACAGAAAACUCGGGCCGCAUCUGUUAUCUCCUCGUGGCCAUGCAGCGUGGGCUCAAGACCAGCUUUCUCAAUGCUUGUGGUGGGGCCUCAAGGUCGUCAGGAUGGAAAGGGAGCGCCCAGCUCCGAAGCGUCGCGUCCUCCACGGCCUUCCUACCGGCGGGACGGGGAAAGCAUCCGCCUUCCCGCUCCCUCGGCGUCGGCCAGGCCGGAGCCACCCGGCGCCCGGCUCCCGGCUCCCGGCCCCCGAGCGUGCGAAGCGCUCGGGCGGGAAAGGGGCCGAAGCCCCCGCGCGCCGGGCUCUGCCCAGAGCCGGGCUGAAGCCUCCGGACCCGCCCCAGGGGUGCGGGGCGCGCCAGACCCGCAGCAACAGCCCAGGGGAGCACUAGCGCCCUCCCCCGGCGCAGGGCACGACCCCCGACGGCGGCCGCUCGCUCCCAGCCGGGGGCCGAGUAAGACGCCGCCCGCGCCCGACCGACCGGGCCCAGCGAGCAGCCCCCGGCUCCGCAUUCAGGAACAUACGGUCCCAGCCCCGGGACAAGGAAGAACGGCGGCGCGGUCGGGCGGUCCCCUCCGAGUUCUAGCAGGAAGGGCGGCGGGGGUGGCCACACAGUGGGCCCGGGGGCAGGGGGGGAUGAUUAGGCGCCUCACCUGCUCCUCCCGAGGCAGCCGCUACCGCUCGAUGAGGAGACAACAUGGAGCCUCCGCCCUUAGCAGAAGCAGCAGGGCUCAGAGAGGGAAGGGCUUGGGCGGGAACAAACUUGGCCUUGGAGGCGGGAAACAGGCGGGGCCUGGGCUCUGGGAGAAACUGGAGAGACGGAGGGGAGCGCGGAACUGCGAGGGAGCGAGCACAGGGCGGGUGGGCGAGGCCUGACGGGCGGCUGCGGGCGCGGCGAGCCCUGGAUGAGCUGGAGCGGAAAAGCGCAUGCGGCCGAAUCCCGCCACCGCCCCGACCUGUGCGCGCCUGCGCGGGAGCGCGGAGCGCGCCGCCGUCUACCUGGGUCUGCGCACUGGGGCCAGCGGUCCGUUGGGAAUUGUAGUCCUAUGCUCUCUGGGUCCCCGCCAGGGCUCCUGGUUCUGCGCACUCAUCCCGGGCGGGAAGGAAGCAGAAGAAGGGGGAUGGACUUCUCUGGGCUUUUCGACAACUGAACUACAACUCCCAGCAGGCCUUGCGGGGAGGUGAGGGCCGGCCGGGGCGGGAGCCCGCCUGCGAGUCCCGCCUGGAGACCCGGCCCGGGACCCAGCCCUUGGGCUAACCGGCGUCGAGCCCCCGUCGGCCCGGCGUUGGAGACGGUUUCGGUGUUUAACUCUGCUCGGGGCCACAGGUGGGCGGCACUCUGCCCUAAGGACCGGAAGACGGCCUUAACCCAGGGUGACGUGAGCGGCACCGGUUUUUCAACGAUUUUGACUUCACAAGGGGAGGAGGCUGUGACUUCGUUACCAGCUUCCCCCAUUUUCCCGUCCCGGGCCGAGCCCGACGGUGCAGCAUCCCCACUCUAAGAGCUAAUGUGAGCGGUGAAACCCUUCCACCGGCCUUGUCCAGCCUCAGCCACGGCCAUCUUUUGUUAACCUCAGGUUUACAGGCGCUUUUCUGAAGCUGCUUUGCAAGCACAUCCUUAAACUGGUAAAUCAACGCAAAACAAGCUUCUCCGAACGUGCUUUUAUUCACACUUCACAUAGGAUUGCGGAAAUGUCCGUUGCCACAAUUGAAUAAAUAGUGUUGUUAUUUUGGA